CUCAGAAAAUAAUAUAAGUUAAUAUAUAAAUUUUGGGGAUUUAAAUUGAUGAAAAGUCUUUUCUGA
This 66-nucleotide transfer RNA is filed under the name Argas persicus. RNAcentral's name for it is "tRNA-Pro". The record is from RNAcentral. Lineage: Eukaryota; Metazoa; Arthropoda; Arachnida; Ixodida; Argasidae.